GAUGAACGCUGGCGGCGUGCCUAAUACAUGCAAGUCGAGCGAACAGACGAGGAGCUUGCUCCUCUGACGUUAGCGGCGGACGGGUGAGUAACACGUGGAUAACCUACCUAUAAGACUGGGAUAACUUCGGGAAACCGGAGCUAAUACCGGAUAAUAUAUUGAACCGCAUGGUUCAAUAGUGAAAGACGGUUUUGCUGUCACUUAUAGAUGGAUCCGCGCCGCAUUAGCUAGUUGGUAAGGUAACGGCUUACCAAGGCAACGAUGCGUAGCCGACCUGAGAGGGUGAGUGGCCACACUGGAACUGAGACACGGUCCAGACUCCUACGGGAGGCAGCAGGAGGGAAUCUUCCGCAAUGGGCGAAAGCCUGACGGAGCAACGCCGCGGGAGUGAUGAAGGUCUUCGGAUCGUAAAACUCUGUUAUUAGGGAAGAACAAAUGUGUAAGUAACUAUGCACGUCUUGACGGUACCUAAUCAGAAAGCCACGGCUAACUACGUG
This 497-nucleotide ribosomal RNA is filed under the name uncultured bacterium. Its description in RNAcentral is "partial 16S ribosomal RNA". It matches the Rfam family "Bacterial small subunit ribosomal RNA", at positions 28 to 507 of the family's 1533-position model. The record is from RNAcentral.